Molecule: non-coding RNA, 5254 nt
Organism: Varroa destructor (honeybee mite)
Lineage: Eukaryota; Metazoa; Arthropoda; Arachnida; Mesostigmata; Varroidae
Source: RefSeq, a predicted model, not a curated record
UCCAAACGAGCAGGCUGAGACACAACGUUAAGCUACAUUCAUCGACGGCAGGGGCUGACCUGUUGAGUGGUCCGUUUGAAUAGCAAUACAGAUUGGUAGGCGAACAUCGGCCAAAAGCUAUCGCUCAGGAUCGUACUUCUCAUAUGCUAAACCGUGCUACCCAAUUUGCAUUACUGGAACAAUUUUAUUUCCUCAAAGUCUAACGGUUUCUUUCCGUCUCGGAAGACGAGCAGAAGGCACCGGCAGUAUGGUGUUUUGUGUUGGGCGCAUGCGUUGGCCGCUUCGCGCAUCGCGUUCGUGGUGGCCGCUUCAGGCGCUGCUGUUAACCAUAGCAGCAGAAGACUUGGUCGUCUGUCUGUUAGUUUUUGAAUGUGGUGCUUGUCUGGAACGAGCAGAGCUCCGUCAGUUUGUCGGAACGUUAGACCGGCCUUACCAGCACAUUGUUUUCUAAUCGUCCUGUCUACACUAGUGAGAGGCUAAAGAGGGGCAGUGAACAGGUGGCUGAUGACCGAACGCCAUUCGAUUGUUCUCUUCACGAUACUACGCGUAGUGUGCCCGCUUAACGUGGCGUUUUGUUUUGGGCGAUAACCACAUUCAAUGACGAUAACAACCAAAUGCGAGUGUCUUAUUGAGCGAAAUUGUUGCAGUACUGUCGGUAGGAAUUCUAGGGAGCGACGAUAGUCUCGAAGCGACGGGAGAAAACAUUGAAUAAGCAUGCGGCCGCAUGCACCUACAGGAGUGAUUGCGACUGCCACAGCUGCUCCUGCCACUUAGGGACAGUUGAAUAAUGCUGAUGAUGAUGACAACGACGACGACAGACGAGCGAAUAUAUGUUUUGAUCGGCUGAGAGCAAUUACUGCGUUUGUUGUUAUCGUUGAAGUAGGAAACUGUUUAUGGUAGUGAAAAGGAGCCUAGAAGAACAAUAGGACGUGGCUGUACAUUUCUUUAUACUUGCUUUUUGUAACUACGUUCUGUAUUGCAACAUGUUACGUAAUCAGUGGCCAGUGCCGGCUGACUCACCUGAUCCACACGACUUGGACGAAGUUCUACAUGACCUCUAUCCACACGGGAUAAGAGAGAAAAAACAGUUCUUUGUCGAUCCAAAAAGCAGAUUAAGGCUACAACUUGCGCAGGAUGGGUGCACUUUCAGCAUGGUGUGUCUCGCAAAGAAGAUCUUUCAGGAGCACCAGGUGAAUGAUGACAUAUCAAUGGAAGUUGCGUUUCGCUGGCUUCUUAAAGCGGCCCGUGAGGGCGACGAAGCAGCUAUCGCAAUGCUUUUAUCGAAGCGGCAGUUUUGUCCACCUUUGUUGGCUCCGUUUGUUGACAACACGCUUGAGCGUGGCUAUUGCGAAGAGGAGCUAUCAGCCACAUACGCAAAGCGAAUCGUAUCGAGGUUCAAAAAGACUUACAUCAACGCCGAUGAGAAGGUCGUGGCCGCGCAGGUUCUCAAGUUAAUUUCGGGCGAGAUACCCAAAUGCGAGUCGUUGUUCGCGCAACGGUUUCGGCAUACGUUCGGUGAUCUGUUCGCUCUCGGAAUGACGCUCGCUAUCGGCGGCUUUAUUGGACAUAGAUAUAUAUCUUCGUUCGACCAUUUACUUAGUCAUAAGCUUGCUCCGGCCAUGGACGCAUUUUUCGCAUUUCUCUGCACGGUUCUCCUCAUCGUUAGCAUGCGAACGUACUGUGCGUUAUUUACGUGCGGCAUGUACUCGAAGGUGAUGCGUCUCGAUGCGAAAUACCGCGACCGUCCACUACCGUUCAGACUUCGAAUGUUCUGGACUCUAUUCAAACUGUAUCUAUUAUCCUUUUCGUGUGUUACGUCCAUGAUUGUUCUAUCGACUCUGGCCUUUGGAAGAGUCUCGUUGACGGUAUUCAGCUGUACGACAUAUUUGAUUAUGCUUGUUGACCUCGUUAAGCAUCUACACUUGUGGCGAAACAGCUACCGGGAACCCGAUUUGUACAUCGGUCGAUUUCCACUACUCCUCAAAUUCAUCUCAGUCGUGUGCGUGUUCUCUCUGUUCUCUUUUACCAAGACGGAGCUACAAGAUACGAUCAUUACGCUGUCAAUGACUCUUGUCGCAUGUAGUAUACUCUAUCUCUCCGAUAGCUGUUCCGUGUUUACGUUCACCUUCCUCACGAGCGAGUACUCGAUCAUUUUGCAAGGCCUAUCAGUGACCAAGACGACAGUCUUCGUCACUAUUCGUCAAUUGUUUAUCGGCGUGCCUCGAAAUAUGAAGGCUUUCAUACUCCUUCUGUUAGCAAUGUACGCGCUGUAUUCGCUUCCACCCGGCAUUUUGUUUCAUCCCAGAGACACGAAUCCGAGGGACAUCUAUGAAAUCUGCAGUUAUACGCCUUCAUUGGACACGAUGGUGGCCUGCAGUAAACUAGAGGGUCACGCCUUAACUGAUGUUGUUGGCAGAGUCGAAUCAAUUAAUCUUCUUCAUCGAAGCAACAUGCUAGAAAGUAUUGGGGUGAAACACUGGAAGCUAAAUGAUGGCUCCGUAGAGAUUGGAGUGGACUCCUUUGAAAAGGUCAAGGUUGCAGUCACACUCACGAUUGAUGACAUUUCUGCCUCAGUCAUACUUGACGACGACGCCCUAAGUUUGAUUCGGUCUCUCAGGCCAAAGAAUUAUAUUAGAGUAAGUGGAAUUCUCGAGCAGGUGCGGACAGGGCCUGAAGUGCAACUCGCAGUUCAUUCGUACAGACAGGACGGACAGCGGGUUGAAAUCAAGCAAAUCAGGACUGCACUGAGGCUUUAUUGGAAGCACGUACUUGACAUCUUCGACGAAUGGAAAAGUCGAAUUGAUUAUAUUUCCGCCGCAGUUAAUCGUGACGAUUUACCCGAUGCUCGGAACGAACUUUAGUGACGGUUUUUCUACUACAAGAAGUCAGGGAACCCAUUGUGUCCUUGAUUCCGGCUUACAUCAAACUGACGUGGCCGCCGAUACCGGCGGUAAUCGCGACGGAAACGGCCGAAGGCGGCUUAAAAUUUUAAUGGUCGGAAGGAAGCAGGAAAAGGGGAUAAAAGGCAGCGGCGUUGGCAAGAGUUGCACCUUGGAGAAUUCCCGUUGGAACGGAGCACCACUGACUUGUCGUUGGAUAGCGAAAAAACCUUCAAACACGUAGCAUUCUGUGAAAAAGAUAGAACAUUUUAGCGGUAUUUUCAAUUAAAGAUCAAUGUCUCUUGUAUGAAUAAAAUGCCAUUUGGUCAACAGUAAUCCCACUUGAAGCGCAGAUGGAAACCUGGACAGGACUUUUUGCUGAAUAUGUUUACUAUAAAAGGUUGAGAUCUGAAUAAUGACAGUGCUAACAUCUUUGUAAUAAUCCACAAAAGCAACAAGCGGUAACCAUUUCCUUGGAUGUUGUAAUUUGCUCUAUGUUAAAUGCUUUUAGCUCAGGAAAUGCCGCAGCUUACACCUAUAUGAAAUACUAUAAUAACGACAUGGCCGAAAUUGUGAGACUACAUUUCGAAUAGAACACCUACAAACGGGCCCCUGACAAACCUGAAAUGGUAGGCAUACUUUGUUUUGCAUUUACUUUACCUCAAAACGGUCAGGCGCCAACGUACGUUUCGUAGAACAUGGUGCACAGAAAACUCAUGAUAAUUCAAACAAUCUAUAUGUUUAGCACCGUUAUCAAUCGCGAGAUUGGGACACCACCGAUUGUUUGCUCUUGUAAAUGAGAAGUGGUCUUCUUACGAAGAAAUUAAACUUGGUGUGAUUAUUUGUUACGCAGUUAUCACGAUAUGGUGCCGCUUACUAGAAGUACUAGUUGGGCUAAGCCGCAAAAAGGGUCCAAACAAAUGAGCAUCCACCUGCGCAUUGUCAGAAGCUGAGGAAGAUGUUUCCUGUAAUUUUCCGUCACUCAGUAUUUCUCCUUAUGUUAAACAAUCCCAUCUCCAACCCCCAACAACCAAGGCUAAGAGAAGUUGUACGUUUCUCGUUCCGUCUGCUCCUUCUCGUCUUUUCGCAUCGCAGCCAUCCAGAGCAGAGCAUACUUUAGCUUGACGGGUAAAGUCCUACACGAAGGCGCAACUCGCGCAGAAAAGGGCGAUAGACCACUGGCUUAUUAUUCGUUCUCUGUUUACUCGCUGUCGCUGUAGUACCCCCCAAUUAGUUGUUAUUUGUUUUAUUGUGUUUGGUCUGCAACCCUCCAGCUAUAAGGUGACUACUGAUUGCGACGGCUGACAAAACAUGGACAGCGAUGUAGCAUAGCGCCUGAGUAAAUCAUUGAGACUUCUCAUUCCGACAGAGGUAGGCCAAGGCGCUAGCAAAACUAUCGUUACCGCCGGCACGAGCCACAGCAAUACCUUCUUCAGGAAACGCAGCUAUUUACUAUAACUCGAUCUCUGACUCUUCAAUGUCUUCAAUAAACCAAAUCAACUAUAUCUUUCUCAACUCGAAUAAUCGUCAAAUGAAGUUGGAUACAAGCUUGAUUCUCUGAUUGAUUCCCCUUUCACGUUGUAGAAGCUUGAAACAUAAAAAUAUACACAUGAAAAGCUUCUAAACAUAUUAAAUAAUAAAUCGACUGGCAGUUUUAUUAAAUUGUUUUAAAUAGGGAAUUACCUAACACAUUAAACAGAGAAACACAGAUUAGCCCAGAAAUAUUUACACUUUGUUUUUAUGUAAAAUACAUAAAAUAGCGAUUGUUUUGUUACAACUUUAGUUCCAGAAUAUUUGUGCUCAAUCCGACGACUGAUACUUAAAUCAGGGUAUCCUUAGUUUGAAAUAUUAGGUUGGGAGUCUACCUAUUUUCGAGCGCGAAACUUUUUUUUUAUCCCGUCUUACUCGAUAACUUUAGAGUGAACAUAAGUUUAAUUUUUAUAGUAGUGCCUAACGUUUAAAGUCUACGGAUAAAGUUUUCAGGGUCAAGAUUCAUUUAAUAAUACAUGACUCAUAUACCCAUGACCUACUAACCUUUCUGAUUCAUUACUGGGUACAGAACUCAAAACGUAUGGAAAAGUGUCACUGUAUAAAAUACCAUUUAUAUAAUAUCAAGCAGCCUGAUGCUUCAUAUUAUUAGCCCAAGGUAAGGUUAAGAACAAAUUAGCGAAUUUUCAAGGUCUCACUAAAUUCUGGUCCUGUCAUAAGUAAAGGGCCCGGGCGCACGACGGUGUCUCCACCAUGCGUUCAUCCGCCCGAACUACUCGAAAUUCAUUGCUGUCCUAUGGGUGAUGGCUAACUGAUUGAGGGUUCGACGUAUCAUCUGCCUGUCUUUGAGAUACAGGUAGACUUACUGUGAGUGUUUGGGAAAUGAU